GCGCGGUUAGCUCAGCUGGAUAGAGCGUUGGCCUCCGAAGCCAAAGGUCGUUGGUUCGAAUCCAAUACCGCGUACCA
This 77-nucleotide transfer RNA is filed under the name Magnetococcales bacterium. Its description in RNAcentral is "tRNA-Arg". It matches the Rfam family "tRNA". Rfam says of the family: Transfer RNA (tRNA) molecules are approximately 80 nucleotides in length. Lineage: Bacteria; Pseudomonadati; Pseudomonadota; Magnetococcia; Magnetococcales. RNAcentral also lists the same sequence under 1 other name. The record is from RNAcentral.